Molecule: ribosomal RNA, 3309 nt
Filed under: Triticum aestivum (bread wheat)
Lineage: Eukaryota; Viridiplantae; Streptophyta; Magnoliopsida; Poales; Poaceae
Description: partial small subunit ribosomal RNA
Source: RNAcentral
AUGACUCAGACUUUGACAGCGGUCUCCGCGGGGCAUAUGGCCAAACAUCUCUUUGUAGUAUGGCUCUGGUGGAUAGCAAAUACUAGACGCCGAGCCUGUAGCAUACUCCCUUCUCUUCGUUCUUCCGCCAUGCAUCCCACAACCAAUCUCUUGUUCACCACCUUCAUCAUCAUAAGCAUAGCUUCAUCUUCACAAGUGGUGCAUGCACUAGCACCACAACCACAGCAUGCCCAUGGCGGCGGCUGCAUCCCAGCUGAGAGGGCCGCCUUGCUCUCCUUCCACAAAGGCAUCACAAGUGAUAGCGCUCAUGUCCUCGCCUCGUGGCAUGGACAUGAUUGCUGCCAGUGGAGGGGAGUCAGCUGCAGUAACCAAACAUGCCAUGUCAUCAAGCUUCACCUUCGCAAUACAAGCCCGGGCCUUUACACCGCUGGUUCGUGUAGUGAUGCUAAUUCAUUGGUCGGCGAGAUAAGUCCCUCUCUGCUUUCCUUGAACCAUCUACAGCACCUGGAUCUUAGCAUGAACUGUUUACUAGGACCAAAUGGCCAUAUUCCUCAGUUCUUGGGUUCCAUGGAGAACUUGAGAUAUCUUAACCUCUCUGGCAUGACAUUUACCGGCAGAGUUCCUUCUCAGCUUGGCAACCUGACUAAGUUGCAGCAUCUUGACCUUGGCAAGGGUUAUUAUUACGGGAUGUACUCAACGGACAUCAGCUGGUUAACAAACCUACCUUUGCUGCAAUACCUUAGCAUGAGCACAAUAAAUCUCUCAAGGAUAGCUGACUGGCCUCAUACACUGAACAUGAUUCCAUCACUAAGGGUUAUCAACCUUGCUGAAUGUUUACUUGAUACUGCAAGCCAAUCACUUCCCCACCUUAACCUCACGAAACUUGAGAAGCUUGAUCUGUCCUUGAAUAAUUUGGACCACUCAAUUGCAUCAAGUUGGUUUUGGAAAGUGUCGAGCCUCAAAUAUCUUAGUCUUCAGGGGAAUCUCCAAGCGAAUUGGUUAUUUGGCAAACUUCCUGAUGCAAUAGGAAACAUGACGUCACUCAAAGUCCUUGAUGUGUCAUUUACCAAUUUGAAUGAGACUGGAAACCUUAAAAACCUUUGUUGUUUGGAAAUUCUUGACCUCUCUGGAAAUCUUAUGAAUGGAGAUAUAGCAGUGUUGAUGGAGGGGUUGCCACAAUGUGCAUGGGAGAAAUUGCAGGAGCUGCAUUUCAGGGGAAACAAAUUCAUGGGGACCCUACCAAAUGUUGUAGGGGAAUUCAGCAGCUUAAGAAAGCUUGACCUGGUCAACAACAACCUUGUUGGAGCUAUACCACCAGGGCUUAUGAAUUUGGCGCAUUUAACCAUCCUUGAUUUUAGUGAGAAUCAGCUCAAUGGAAAUGUACCAAGUGAGAUUGGUGGCCUUACUGCUUUGACUUAUUUGGGCAUAGACAGCAACAACUUGACUGGAGGUAUACCAGCCGAGCUUGGAAAACUGAAGUAUUUGGCUACCCUUCAUCUCUCAGGCAACAAAAUUACUGGACCUAUACCACCAGGGCUUAUGCAUUCAACUAGCUUAACCAUCCUAGACCUUUCCAGUAAUUACCUUGAUGGAAGUGUACCCACUGAAUUAGGUUCCCUCGAGAAUCUGUUAUAUCUGGACCUAAGAAACAACAACCUUAGUGGUGUGAUCACGGAAGAACACUUUGUAAACCUAAAAAGUUUAAAGAUUAUAAACUUGUCCUACAACAAUUUGAAGAUUGUAGUGGAUUCAGAUUGGUGUUCAUCCUUCAAGCUACAGAUUGCAGAUUUUGCAUUGUGCCAAGUGGGUCCUCUUUUUCCAGCCUGGCUUCAACAGCUACAUGGAGUCAGUAUACUUGACAUUUCGAGCACUGGCUUAGCGGACAAGUUUCCUGAUUGGUUUUGGUAUACAUUUUCACAGACAAAAUAUCUCGACGUCUCUAAGAACCAAAUAAAUGGUAGCUUGCCAGCACAUCUGGAUAGCAUGGCUUUGGAGGAACUCUACCUAAGUUCAAACCAACUCACCGGCUCAAUACCUUCGUUGCUGAUAAAUAUCACUAUGUUAGACAUCUCCAACAAUAACUUUUCAGGAGUAAUACCAUCAAAAUUUGAAGCCUCCCGACUUCGAAUAUUGCUUAUCUAUUCAAAUCAACUUGGUGGGUACAUUCCCGAAUCAAUUUGUAAAUUGCAACAGCUACUGUAUCUGGAUUUGUCGAACAACGUAUUAGAAGGUGAAAUUCCUCAAUGCUUUGGAAUCCAAAACAUGCAAUUUCUUCUACUGGGUAACAACAGUUUAUCAGGAAAGUUCCCAGCAUUUUUGCAGAAUAAUACGGCUUUGGAGUUCUUGGAUCUUGCAUGGAAUAAGUUAUCUGGAAGAUUGCCUCCAUGGAUAGGAGAUCUGGAGAAAUUACGUUUGGUACUACUGAGCCACAAUUCAUUUUCUUAUGAUAUUCCAGUCAACACCACAAGCCUUAAGUAUCUUCAAUACUUGGAUCUAUCAUGCAACAAUUUCUCUGGUACAAUACCUUGGCAUAUGUUGAACCUAACACUUAUGACAGAAGUACAGAAGGGAUUCAUGAGUAUGGUAGAUUCAUAUGGUGGACCCACGAACAGCAUGACCCAGCCAGGAGCUAGUCACGUCGGAGAAAUAUUGUUAGUAGUAACAAAAGGACAACAACUUGUAUAUGGUAGGACACUUAUAUAUUUUGUGAGCAUUGAUUUAUCAUGUAACUCUUUGACUGGUGAAAUCCCUACAGACAUCACUUCCCUUGAUGCAUUGAUGAAUUUGAAUUUAUCAUCGAACAAAUUAAGUGGACAAAUACCAAACAUGAUUGGGGCCAUGCAGUCCGUAGUAUCUCUUGACCUCUCUGAGAACAAGCUCUCCGGUGAAAUCCCGCCGAGCUUGUCAAGUCUGGCAUCUUUGGAGGCCUUGAACCUGUCCUACAACAAUUUAUCUGGAAGGAUACCCUCUGGCCGGCAACUUGACACCCUUAAUUCGGAUAACCCUUCACUUAUAUACAUAGGCAACAGUGGACUUUGUGGGCCUCCUCUCCAAAAGAAUUGUCCAGGAAAUGAUUCUUUCAUCCACGGUGAUCUCGGAGGCAGCAAGCUAGAGUUUGAUCCACUAACCUUUCAAUUUGGUCUUGUGCUGGGACUUGUGGUGGGGUUCUGGAUGGUGUUUUGUGCACUGUUGUUCAAGAGGACAUGGAGAAUUGCUUAUUUCCGGCUCUUCGACAAGGCGUAUGAUCAAGUCUAUGUAAUUGUGGUCGUGAAGUGGGCAAGCUUCGCAAAGAACACAACAGCAGAAUAA